RNAcentral lists this RNase P RNA (371 nucleotides) under Patescibacteria group bacterium. Its description in RNAcentral is "RNase P RNA component class A". It matches the Rfam family "Bacterial RNase P class A". From Rfam's summary of the family: Ribonuclease P (RNase P) is a ubiquitous endoribonuclease, found in archaea, bacteria and eukarya as well as chloroplasts and mitochondria. Its best characterised activity is the generation of mature 5'-ends of tRNAs by cleaving the 5'-leader elements of precursor-tRNAs. The record is from RNAcentral.
AAAUAAAUUGAGAUGAUCGCCCCAGGCCUAGCUUGGGGAGGACAAAGUCCGAACACCACAGCCGUCUUUGACGGAGAUAGUUGUUAACGGCAACCGGUUAUCAGGGUGACUUGAUAGCAAGGACAAGUUGAACAGAAAAUAUACCUACCGGCAUCCGCCGGUUAAGGGUGAAAUGGUCAGAUAAUGAGCUGACCCGUUAGUCUGGUGACAGAUUAAAAGAGCUAAACUCUAUCUGGUGCAAAACUAAGUAGGCCGAGGCGCAAGCUGAGGCGGGUAAGUUGCUUGAGGCUAUAGGCAACUAUAGUCCUAGAUAGAUGAUCAUCGUCCGCCUUUGGCGGAGACAGAAUUCGGCUUAUUAUAUUUAUUUGGGU